This 753-nucleotide non-coding RNA is filed under the name Calvisia medogensis. Lineage: Eukaryota; Metazoa; Arthropoda; Insecta; Phasmatodea; Lonchodidae. The record is from RNAcentral.
UUAGUUUGAUUCUGGCUAUCUUAUUAAUUUAUAGGGAUAUAUACAUGUAAAUUUUAUUUAUAAAUUUGUUUUUUGCAGUAUUUAAUAUUAAAUAUAUAAUUACUUAUGAUUUGGAUAUUCUAUUUAUUAUUGUAAAAUUUUGUGCCAGCAUACGCGGUUAUACAAUAAAUAUGAAUUAAUAUUAUUGGUUUAAUUGGAGUUAAAUUGUAUUUUGAAUUUAUUUUUUAAGUUUUUAGGUUAAAUUUAUAAUUUAAUUUAAUUUUUUUUUGGUUCUUCUAAAUUUAAUUAGUAAACUAGGAUUAGAUACCCUAUUAUUUUAUAUGUAAAUUGUUACCUGGGUAGUAUUAGUUAUUUUCUUUAAACCUAAAGAAUUUGGCGGUAUUUUAGUCUAUUUAGAGGAAUUUGUCCCAUGAUCGAUAUUCCCCGUUUUAUCUUUCUUAUUUUUGUUUAUCAGUAUGUAUAUCGCUGUUAUAAGUUUAUUUUUUUAGAUUAUUAAUUUACUUAAUUUUUUAUAUUAAAUUAUUUCAAGUCAAGGUGCAGCUAAUAAAUAAGUGGAGAUGAGUUACAAUAUUUUAUAUUUGGAUUGUAAUUUUUAAAAUGUUAAUGAAAUUGGAUUUAAUAGUAAUUUUUUUGAUAAUAUUAAUUUGAUAUUAGCUCUAAAAUAAGUACAUAUCGCCCGUCACUCUCAAUUUAUUUGAGAUAAGUCGUAACAAAGUAGAUGUACUGGAAAGUGUAUCUAGUUAGUUUAUUAAA